AUGAAGAAUCCAACAAACAUGAGGGUGGUUUCGAUAAUAACAUUUUAGAUAACUCGAGCCAACCAUCACCACCUUCUGGAAAUAAACCCGGUGUGUCUCUUGAUGCCCCAGUUGGGGGGGAGUCUACAUCUGAUACCUACAGCAUUGCAAGAAAAUAGGUUUUGGAGGAAAAAUUGAGGUUGAAGAAUAGAAAUCUACUUAGUUAGUAACCCACGAGUUGAUUCAAAACUUGAGGGUGGGACCUACAAUUCGUGAGUGGGCCUGUGACUUGAGUUCUAAAGUUGAAAAAAAAAUUCUGAUUACUAUUAUAUGAACCAAGACUUAUGACUUCUACCCACAACUCAUGGGUAGUAUUUGCGUUUCAAGUACUGAAGAUUGAACCUGAGCAUGAUUUCCAUGAUUUAGAGCAAAGACGAAUUAAUCUGAUCUGUUACUCAACCCAUGAGUCGUAAGGUGCUGCCGACCUGAUUUUCCUAUACAAUUUAUGAUAGCAUUCAUGUUAUAUAUAUUAGUACUCCUAUUAUGUUUUAUGAAUAGUCUACAUAUGGAAUUAUUUUUAGGUUUUUAGACACAUUAUUAAUCGAUGAACUCUUGAUAUUAGUUUUUUAAGGUUUAAAUCAAUUUAAGAUUUAUGGUUUUUCAUUUUA
Long non-coding RNA from Capsicum annuum, 647 nucleotides. RefSeq lists it as uncharacterized. NCBI's taxonomy places the organism in Eukaryota, Viridiplantae, Streptophyta, Magnoliopsida, Solanales, Solanaceae. The record is from RefSeq and is a predicted model, not a curated record. The transcript is spliced from 2 exons.